GAUGAACGCUGGCGGCGUGCCUAAUACAUGCAAGUCGAGCGAACAGAUGAGGAGCUUGCUCCUCUGACGUUAGCGGCGGACGGGUGAGUAACACGUGGAUAACCUACCUAUAAGACUGGGAUAACUUCGGGAAACCGGAGCUAAUACCGGAUAAUAUAUUGAACCGCAUGGUUCAAUAGUGAAAGACGGUUUUGCUGUCACUUAUAGAUGGAUCCGCGCCGCAUUAGCUAGUUGGUAAGGUAACGGCUUACCAAGGCAACGAUGCGUAGCCGACCUGAGAGGGUGAUCGGCCACACGGGAACUGAGACACGGUCCAGACUCCUACGGGAGGCAGCAGUAGGGAAUCUUCCGCAAUGGGCGAAAGCCUGACGGAGCAACGCAGCGUGAGUGAUGAAGGUCUUCGGAUCGUAAAACUCUGUUAUUAGGGAAGAACAAAUGUGUAAGUAACUAUGCACGUCUUGACGGUACCUAAUCAGAAAGCCACGGCUAACUACGU
RNAcentral lists this ribosomal RNA (496 nucleotides) under uncultured bacterium. RNAcentral describes it as "partial 16S ribosomal RNA". It matches the Rfam family "Bacterial small subunit ribosomal RNA", at positions 28 to 506 of the family's 1533-position model. The record is from RNAcentral.